UGCUUCUGGGGCCGGAUUCACGAGAAUCUUCUUCAGAAACAAGUCACGCGGUCACAGCAUCUUACGUUAUUGAUCAUCAGAUGCAUGAUGCUCUUGGGCAUGAGGUCGCGGAUGCAUUUGUUGACGAUGGCCAUGUAGGAGUCCACCAGGUUCCUGAUGGUCUCCACCUUCCUCUCCAGCUGAGGAUCCAUGGAGAAGUUCUCAGACGGGCCUGAACUCUCGCUCUCCACCUGAGAGAAAGAGACCGACGCCGGUCAGGAAGAUCAGCCGCGAGGAACAGGGUUCAUGCUUCAGAUUAAAUCUCGUGGAAGUGAUAAAGAAGGGUUGCUUGGGUUUGUCCUCUUAAGUAGAAAUUAUGGUGAGAAGAACUUUGUGUCUUGCCUAGAGUUGAUAAAUGAAUUAAUCUCUUAUGCAUAAACUUGUGAGGUUGUGGGUUCAUUUGGAGGACACGUGUGAAAAUGUCUGUUCAGCAUACCCUCACUGCAAUCAAAGAAUCAUGUAAAACCCCGUAAAGCUUGAGAUUACUGGUGUAAAAUACUUAAUAUAGAAAUAUGUAUGAAACUAAUAAAACUAAAUUGAACAACAAUAAAAUGUUUUCUCAUUAAUCAUUCUAUUAAUCAGGAACCUACUUUCACACACACACACACACACACACACACACACACACACACACACACAAAAAGCUAAUUUCCGCUAUUGUAGGCUUGCUUUGUAAAUGUAAUUUAUAGACCAGCGCAAAUGUGUGCUUAAUGCAAAUGUUAUUGAUCACAUUUACAAAAUCAGGUGAUUGUACAUAAAUACAUUUGCACAGAUGGACGAACAGAGACAAAAUAAUAGGGGUGCACGAUAAAUAUCGGCCGAUAAUUAAAGCGCAUCUCGUCAGUAAAGCCGGUUCAUUGUUCAUUAUCAGCGUGGAUUUGUUUGUGCAGUUUGUCAGUUAACAACAGAUCUGUGUGAAAUCACGCACCUGAUGGAACUCACCGCUGAUUAGAGACGCUUUACUGACGAGAUGCGCAUUAAUUAUCGGCCGAUAUUUAUCGUGCACCCCUACAAAACAACGAGGUUAAUCGCUGUCUGUUACCGUCAGUUUAGAGCAGUGAUCGUAAAUGAUAGCGAAGACUAAAAAAAAAAAAAAAAAACCCUUUUGCUUUUAAUUCUCAUCAAAAAUACAGAACAACAUUAAGCAAAUAGUGUAAAAUCCUAUCUUAAUUCAAUGUUUAAA
Long non-coding RNA from Cyprinus carpio (common carp), 1222 nucleotides. RefSeq lists it as uncharacterized. The transcript is spliced from 2 exons. Lineage: Eukaryota; Metazoa; Chordata; Actinopteri; Cypriniformes; Cyprinidae. The record is from RefSeq and is a predicted model, not a curated record.